Molecule: ribosomal RNA, 377 nt
Filed under: uncultured bacterium
Lineage: Bacteria
Description: bacterial SSU rRNA
Rfam family: Bacterial small subunit ribosomal RNA
Source: RNAcentral
UAAUACGUAGGUGGCAAGCGUUGUCCGGAUUUACUGGGCGUAAAGCGCGCGUAGGCGGCUUUUUAAGUCUAUGGUGAAAUCUCCUGGCUUAACCAGGAUGGGUCUGUAGAUACUGGAAGGCUUGAGUGUCGCAGAGGAAAGUGGAAUUCCCGGUGGAGUGGUGAAAUGCGUAGAUAUCGGGAGGAACACCAGAGGCGUAAGCGGCUUUCUGGGCGAUUACUGACGCUGAGGCGCGAAAGCGUGGGGAGCAAACCGGAUUAGAUACCCGGGUAGUCCACGCCGUAAACGAUGGGCACUAGGUGUCAUGGGUAUCGACCCCCGUGGUGCCGUAGCUAACGCAUUAAGUGCCCCGCCUGGGGAGUACGGCCGCAAGGCUA